This is a long non-coding RNA of Maniola jurtina (meadow brown), 2133 nucleotides long. RefSeq lists it as uncharacterized. The transcript has 2 exons. The record is from RefSeq and is a predicted model, not a curated record. NCBI's taxonomy places the organism in Eukaryota, Metazoa, Arthropoda, Insecta, Lepidoptera, Nymphalidae.
UAAACAUGGCUGCGAAAAUGUUGAAAAUCCAACAUAUAAUAUCGACAUUAUUGAUAACAAACAAAGGGAUAAAGGUAACAAGUAUUUAAUUAGGUAGUCAUGCACAACCCAAAUCAUCGACACAUUUGUUUCGAUAACUAAAGGAACGUCACUAUAAAUGUGCAUUAAUCAACGAAGUAUCAUAUUUUUCGCGUACAUUCUUCAUACAUUAUUACCAUUACAAAACACUUGCUACAUAGGCGUCAUUUAGAUGACGUCUGUCACAGGACUCAUGCUAUAUUUAUUUAUGAACUAUAGUAUAGUGCUCUCUCUGUUUGACUUUAUGAAACAGAGGGAGCGCUCUAUACUAAUUAUAUUACCUUAUCCGCGGAAUGAAGUCCGUAUAGCACUAUCUCUCUUUUUAUGGGAUUACGUAAAAGAGAGAGCGUUAUACUAAUUACAUUCGACGGAUAAGGUAUAGUUAACUUCGCUUGUCAACAAGUCUUUUUCAUUUAAUGUCCAGCUCACUUCGCUCGCGUUGUAUAUUGCGCGUAAAAAUAGUAAUAAUAGCGUCUUAGUUGGCAACGUCUCCCUUUAUUAUUGUCUUAUCCUUAAACUACUCGGUUCUACUGCGGGUUCUUGUCAGCUGACACCUUCGGCCGAAAGCCGGUCAAAAAAUUUGAGGGUACUUGUUAAAAAGUUUCAGAAUCCACUGCUUAGAUUCCAGAUUCAAAUACUCCGGAAUAUAGAGGUAUGAACCCGUCCAAAUGGCAUUAGUAUGACCUCGACAGCUUCCGUGAACUCUACUAUACCCUAUCCUCGGAGAGAAGUUUAUAUAGGGCUCUCUCGGUUACGUUAUCCCAUACAAAUGACAGACAAAAACCGAGUGGGCGUUAACCAUUUUGAGCGACCUAUCCUAUCCUAGAGACGUUGCUCAAAAUGGUUAACACCCAGAUUUUUUGUCUUUGUAUGGCAUUACGUAACAGAGCGAGCCCUAUAUUAACUUCUCUCUGUGGAUAAAGUAUAACAAAUUCCUGUUACAAGCUUACAGUAAAUAAAUGAAGUGAAGGUAGCAGUAGAUGCCGAGGUCAUCAUAUUAUAAUACGAUGUCAACUUUUACAAAGGACUUCCUCAAAAUUUUCCACCAGUUCUUAGACCUAUACAACUACCUCGUCGCGGCCGUCCGCCAUUUUGAUUCAACCACAAGAUGGCCGCGAUCAACAACUUUUCUAAAUCUCUCAUCUAAGGCAGCGGCCUUACUUAAGAUUUGUUAAUUUGAGCAAAAAAUGCAAACUUUUGGCCUAUUUUUGGCAAAUUAGAGUCAAACCAGGAAGACUGUAGGCCUUAGAGUCAAACCAGGAAGACUGGAGGCCUCAAGCGAAGCGACUACAAAGGGCUACACUACGUGUCUAGGUCACAGGCCCUCAUUCGCUGUGAUAUUCAAAUCUAAACCACCCGUCACUAUAUCCUAUCCGCGGAAACAAGUAAUAUAGCGCUCUCUCUGUCAAUCUCAUACAAAUGAUAGAGCCAAAAGUCUCAGUGGGCGGUAACCGUUUUGAUUCACCGACCAAUCAUAAACAUUUCAUGUUUUCAAAAACCAUUCGAAAUUCAAUUAGAAAACAUAAUUUCGUUUGUGAUUGGUUGGGGACUCAAAAUGAUUAGCGCCCACUGAGAUUUUUGUCUCUAUCAUUUGUAUGGGAUUACGUAACAGAGAGAGCGCUAGCGCUGUACUAACUUAUUUCCGCAGAUAGAGUAUAAUUACCACUAAAAUGUCAUAGGAGUUAGGUUCCUAGAUCAUUCACCACUCGCCGGCCCGGUUACCAAACUAAUACAGUGUUUUAUAAAAAAGAAAAAAUAUAAAUAUAUUCUUGUUAGCAUUUGAAGUCUCAUCACCCGCAACGGGUGUUGAAACUUCGAAUAUACAUGUGGGUAGGUAUAAAAAAAUUAAGUACAUAUAACUAGAGGGCGUGGCCGACGCAUCAGUACUUUGGCAAGACGCACGGCCGCCCGCGGAGGGGUUACUAAGUUACUAAGUGAGACAUCACAAUUAAUAUUAAUCCAACCAUCUAAUACUGAGAAUUUAGGAAAAAAUGCUAAUAUACAAAAGGUGUUAUCGAACGGGCGAUGCGCAUGCCGCGAUUCCGUACCCAACCC